MicroRNA precursor from Ochotona princeps (American pika), 87 nucleotides. Ensembl annotates it as microRNA 1287. Lineage: Eukaryota; Metazoa; Chordata; Mammalia; Lagomorpha; Ochotonidae. The record is from Ensembl.
CUCUGCUCUCCAGGUGCUGGGUCACUGGUUUGAGUCUGAGCCACUGAAAGCCACUCUGGCCCACAGACGCUGUGAUCGGAGCCAUGA